Non-coding RNA from Sorex araneus (European shrew), 369 nucleotides. NCBI's taxonomy places the organism in Eukaryota, Metazoa, Chordata, Mammalia, Eulipotyphla, Soricidae. The record is from the annotation of a RefSeq genome assembly.
AUGAGGGCCCCUGUGCAGCUCCUCAGCUUCCUGCUGCUCUGGCUCCCGGGUGCCAGGUGUGAUAUCCAGAUUACCCAGCCUCCUUCUGUGUCUGUAUCUCUGGGAGAGAAAGUCACCAUUACCUGCAAGACCAGUCAGAGUGUUGGCAUUUGGUUACACUGGUAUCAGCAGAAACCAGGGAAAGUGCCCAGGCUGAUGAUCCAUAAGGCAACCAAUUUAGUACAAAACGUCCCUCCCUGGUUCAGUGGCAGUAGAUCAGAGACAGAUUACACUCUCACCAUCAGCAGCAUGAAGCCUGAAGAUGCUGCCACUUAUUUCUGUCAACAGACUAGUAGUUUCUCUCCCACAGUGAUACACGCCAGAACAUAA